RNAcentral lists this unclassified non-coding RNA (551 nucleotides) under Hevea brasiliensis (rubber tree). The record is from RNAcentral. Lineage: Eukaryota; Viridiplantae; Streptophyta; Magnoliopsida; Malpighiales; Euphorbiaceae.
GGAUGAGCUCCCUGGUCUUGUUGAUUUCACCGUAGUGGUCAAGCUUAGUUCUAGACAAAAGCAAGAAGUUGAGAAAUUGAAGAAGAAGUGGGCUAGGAAAUUCAAGAGAAGUUCUGUUGGGAGUGCUGUUUAUAUGCACCCAAAUUUGUACAAUAUCUCUGAAAAUUCUGACUUGACUGAUGAUAAAAUGGAUGGGUUUUUGGAGGAAUUAAAUGUGAGAGACGGAGCAAAAUCAAAAUUCUUUCUUAAUAUGUUGAACUUAUGUGACUCAGCUGGGGAAAAGCUGUUGGUUUUCAGUCAGUAUCUGACACCAUUAAAAUUUUUGGAGAGACUGACAGUGAAAGUGAAGGGUUGGUUGCUGGGAAGAGAAAUUUUUGUGAUCUCCGGUGAAUCAAGUUCUGAUCACCGGGAGUGGUCUAUGGAACGAUUUAACAAUUCAACCGAAGCAAAAGUGUUCUUUGGAUCUAUUAAGGCAUGUGGAGAGGGAAUUUCUUUGGUUGGGGCAUCCCGCGUUCUUAUUUUGGAUGUUCAUCUGAAUCCUUCAGUUACUC